Molecule: ribosomal RNA, 254 nt
Filed under: uncultured bacterium
Lineage: Bacteria
Description: partial 16S ribosomal RNA
Rfam family: Bacterial small subunit ribosomal RNA
Source: RNAcentral
UACGGAGGGGGCAAGCGUUGUUCGGAUUUACUGGGCGUAAAGGGUGUGUAGGCGGUUGCGCAAGUCUGGUGUGAAAUCUUCACCGCUUAACGGGAAGAGGUCACUGGAAACUGCGUAACUCGAGUAUGGUAGAGGCAAGCGGAAUUCCUGGUGUAGCGGUGGAAUGUGUAGAUAUCAGGAGGAACACCUAAGGCGAAGGCAGCUCGCUGGAACGGUACUGACGCUGAGGCGCGAAAGCGUGGGGAGCAAACAGG